CCAAUAGCGUAUAUUAAAGUUGUUGCAGUUAAAAAGCUCGUAGUUGAAUUUCGGGACCAUCAUGUCGGUCGUGCCUCGGUACGUACUGGCAUUGUUGGUUUCUCCCUUCUGACGAACCAUGAUGUCCUUUAUUUGGUGUUGUGGGGAAUCAGGACUGUUACUUUGAAAAAAUUAGAGUGUUUAAAGCAGGCUCACGCUUGAAUACAUUAGCAUGGAAUAAUGAAAUAGGACGUUUGAUUCUAUUUUGUUGGUUUCUAGGAUCGACGUAAUGAUUAAUAGGGAUAUUUGGGGGCAUUAGUAUUCAAUUGUCAGAGGUGAAAUUCUUGGAUUUAUUGAAGACUAACUACUGCGAAAGCAUUUGCCAAGGAUGUUUUCAUUAAUCAAGAACGAAAGUUAGGGGAUCGAAGACGAUCAGAUACCGUCGUAGUCUUAACCAUAAACUAUGCCGACUAGGGAUCGGAUGAUGUUAAUUUUUUAAUGACUCAUUCGGCGCCUUACG
RNAcentral lists this unclassified non-coding RNA (499 nucleotides) under uncultured Glomus. RNAcentral's name for it is "SSU rRNA". It matches the Rfam family "Eukaryotic small subunit ribosomal RNA", at positions 591 to 1092 of the family's 1831-position model. The record is from RNAcentral. Lineage: Eukaryota; Fungi; Glomeromycota; Glomeromycetes; Glomerales; Glomeraceae.